Molecule: ribosomal RNA, 406 nt
Filed under: uncultured bacterium
Lineage: Bacteria
Description: partial 16S ribosomal RNA
Rfam family: Bacterial small subunit ribosomal RNA
Source: RNAcentral
AUUGAACGCUGGCGGCAGGCCUAACACAUGCAAGUCGAACGCGUCGCGGACGGGUGAGAAAUGUCUGGGAAACUCCCCUAUGGAGGGGGAAAACUACUGGAAACGGUCGCUAAUACCGCAUACCAUUGGAUGUGCCCAGAUGGGAUUAGCUAGUAGGUGGGGUAACGGCUCACCUAGGCAACGAUCCCUAGCUGGUCUGAGAGGAUGACCAGCCACACUGGAACUGAGACACGGUCCAGACUCCUACGGGAGGCAGCAGUGGGGAAUAUUGCACAAUGGGCGCAAGCCUGAUGCAGCAAUGCCGCGUGUAUGAAGAAGGCCUUCGGGUUGUAAAGUACUGUCAGCGGGGAGGCGUUACUCGCAGAAGAAGCACCGGCUAACUCCGUGCCAGCAGCCGCGGUAAUUC